AGUGAACGCUGGCGGUAGGCCUAACACAUGCAAGUCGAACGGCAACACAGUAAGAGCUUGCUCUUACGGGUGGCGAGUGGCGGACGGGUGAGGAAUACAUCGGCAUCUACUUUUUCGUGGGGGAUAACGAAGGGAAACUUACGCUAAUACCGCAUACGACCUACUGGUGAAAGCAGGGGAUCUUCGGACCUUGCGCGAUUGAAUGAGCCGAUGUCGGAUUAGCUAGUUGGGCGGGUAAAGGCCCACCAAGGCGACGAUCCGUAGCUGGUCUGAGAGGAUGAUCAGCCACACUGGAGCUGAGACACGGUCCAGACUCCUACGGGAGGCAGCAGUGGGGAAUGUUGGACAAUGGGCGGAAGCCUGAUCCAGCCAUACCGCGUGGGUGAAGAAGGCCUUCGGGUUGUAAAGCCCUUUUGUUGGGAAAGAAAAGCAGCAGGUUAAUACCCCGCUGUUCUGACGGUACCCAAAGAAUAAGCACCGGCUAACUUCGUG
This 492-nucleotide ribosomal RNA is filed under the name uncultured bacterium. RNAcentral's name for it is "partial 16S ribosomal RNA". It matches the Rfam family "Bacterial small subunit ribosomal RNA", at positions 29 to 507 of the family's 1533-position model. The record is from RNAcentral.